RNAcentral lists this ribosomal RNA (253 nucleotides) under uncultured bacterium. Its description in RNAcentral is "partial 16S ribosomal RNA". It matches the Rfam family "Bacterial small subunit ribosomal RNA", at positions 524 to 776 of the family's 1533-position model. The record is from RNAcentral.
UACAGAGGAUGCAAGCGUUGUCCGGAAUUAUUGGGCGUAAAGAGCUCGUAGGCGGUUUGUCGCGUCUGCUGUGAAAACUCGGGGCUUAACCCCGGGCCUGCAGUGGGUACGGGCAGACUAGAGUGCGGUAGGGGAGACUGGAAUUCCUGGUGUAGCGGUGAAAUGCGCAGAUAUCAGGAGGAACACCGGUGGCGAAGGCGGGUCUCUGGGCCGUAACUGACGCUGAGGAGCGAAAGCGUGGGGAGCGAACAGG